GUCCAUGCCGUAAACGAUGUCUACUAGCCGUUGGGGCCUUUGAGGCUUUAGUGGCGCAGCUAACGCGAUAAGUAGACCGCCUGGGGAGUACGGUCGCAAGACUAAAACUCAAAUGAAUUGACGGGGGGCCCGCACAAGCGGUGGAGCAUGUGGUUUAAUUCGAUGCAACGCGAAGAACCUUACCUGGUCUUGACAUAGUAGAAACUUUCCAGAGAUGGAUUGGUGCCUUCGGGAAUCUACAUACAGGUGCUGCAUGGCUGUCGU
RNAcentral lists this ribosomal RNA (264 nucleotides) under uncultured bacterium. Its description in RNAcentral is "partial 16S ribosomal RNA". It matches the Rfam family "Bacterial small subunit ribosomal RNA", at positions 793 to 1055 of the family's 1533-position model. The record is from RNAcentral.